RNAcentral lists this long non-coding RNA (499 nucleotides) under Fragaria vesca (wild strawberry). Its description in RNAcentral is "long non-coding RNA (FVES_LNC003190)". Lineage: Eukaryota; Viridiplantae; Streptophyta; Magnoliopsida; Rosales; Rosaceae. The record is from RNAcentral.
GGCUAGUAAGGCAAUUUAACAAACACCUGGUGUGCAUAAAAUCAAUCCCACCACCAUCUCAAGAUGAAAUACCCAAUUUCGUCUUCGACUCCUUCAAAGAUAAUCCCCAAACCAAACACACGAAUCCCGCAUCCCUAUGAACACAACCCAGCAAAAGCAAUUAUAAAAAAAAAUUCUAUAUUUGAAUUGUAGAUCCCCAACCUAAUCCAAACAAACACUAAAUCAAUUUACAGUGAAUCAAAGAGCUUACCAACAGAGAUAACAUCAAAGCCUAAAUUAAUGUAGGAGUUCGCAAUGAGGUUCGUCUUUUGUCAAACCCUAAUUAUGUGGUCGUUCGGUGAUCGAGGGUGAGAGAUCAGAAUGGGUUCUUCGUGAGGUAUUGGGAUGAAGUUGGGGUUUUCAGAUCGAGUUUAGUGUGUUUGUGUUUGACAUGGGGUUGAGAGAGUAGUCGAGAGAAUGAAAUUAGACUCAGAUGUAUCGGGGGGAGAGAGAGAGAGAG